AACGCGAAGAACCUUACCUGGGCUUGAACCGCUACGGACCAAGGGUAGAAAUAUCCUCUUCCCGCAAGGGACCGUAGUAGAGGUGCUGCAUGGCUGUCGUCAGCUCGUGCCGUGAGGUGUUGGGUUAAGUCCCGCAACGAGCGCAACCCUUACUCAUAGUUGCUACCCGCAAGGGAGAACUCUAUGAGGACUGCUCCGGAUAACGGAGAGGAAGGUGGGGAUGACGUCAAGUCAGCACGGCCUUUAUGUCCAGGGCUACACACGUGUUACAAUGCAUGGUACAGACUGUUGCGAACCCGCGAGGGGGAGCUAAUCGGCCAAAGCCAUGCUCAGUUCGGAUUGCAGUCUGCAACUCGACUGCAUGAAGCUGGAAUCGCUAGUAAUGGCGUAUCAGAUCGACGCCGUGAAUACGUUCCCGGGCCUUGUA
RNAcentral lists this ribosomal RNA (427 nucleotides) under uncultured Acidobacteriota bacterium. RNAcentral's name for it is "bacterial SSU rRNA". It matches the Rfam family "Bacterial small subunit ribosomal RNA", at positions 958 to 1385 of the family's 1533-position model. The record is from RNAcentral. Lineage: Bacteria; Pseudomonadati; Acidobacteriota.